Molecule: ribosomal RNA, 497 nt
Filed under: uncultured bacterium
Lineage: Bacteria
Description: partial 16S ribosomal RNA
Rfam family: Bacterial small subunit ribosomal RNA
Source: RNAcentral
GAUGAACGCUGGCGGCGUGCCUAAUACAUGCAAGUCGAGCGAACGGACGAGAAGCUUGCUUCUCUGAUGUUAGCGGCGGACGGGUGAGUAACACGUGGAUAACCUACCUAUAAGACUGGGAUAACUUCGGGAAACCGUAGCUAAUACCGGAUAAUAUUUUGAACCGCAUGGUUCAAAAGUGAAAGACGGUCUUGCUGUCACUUAUAGAUGGAUCCGCGCUGCAUUAGCUAGUUGGUAAGGUAACGGCUUACCAAGGCAACGAUGCAUAGCCGACCUGAGAGGGUGAUCGGCCACACUGGAACUGAGACACGGUCCAGACUCCUACGGGAGGCAGCAGUGGGGAAUCUUCCGCAAUGGGCGAAAGCCUGACGGAGCAACGCCGCGUGAGUGAUGAAGGUCUUCGGAUCGUAAAACUCUGUUAUUAGGGAAGAACAUAUGUGUAAGUAACUGUGCACAUCCUGACGGUACCUAAUCAGAAAGCCACGGCUAACUACGUG